ACAAAUUGCUGCUUUAUAUUUACAGACAUACAGUUCCAACAUGACUGAUUUUGUGCAGCCUACAAAUGUUCUAACAGCUGUAGCAUCAAAUGAAGAACCUCUGGGAUCACCUUUCACCUGUUUCCCAAAACCAGAGCGGAGGAGGCAGUUGCCGUCACACACUAAGAAGGGAGGAUUUUGUUGCCUCUGACAGGACACUGCUCUGCAGCAUACACUUCAGGUGUGAGGACUUCAACAGGACAGGAGCGACUGUCUGACUAAAAGAUGGUGGUGUUCCAACAGUCCAAAGGAUUUUGCUAAAGCAACGGAGGCACUGGAAAGAGACCAACUCAGUCCACUGACCACCUGUACCCACUGCCUGGUGGUCCCAACACUUUAUACACUAAACUGAAGGAGCCACAGCAACAAUGAGGGCACUGCAGUUGGAGAAGUCUGCCUUGGCAGGAGAAAGGAGGGCCAAGAGAACUACAUGUUCUACGAGAGGACUGGACACAAAAAUAUAUAUGAUGUCGUUAUUAAAACAAAUCAGUCAUGUUACAUUUACUCAGAUUUGUUUGGUGUUUGUUGGUUAAUUGAAAGCAGGCAGAUGUUGUCUUUACAUCCCUUUGAAAUUAAUAGUUGUAAUUAUGUUUCCAAUAACAAGGUCACAGUUAAAUUCUAGUGCCUUUCUUGUUACUCCUGGUUCAGUCUUGGUUUUCAGUCUAAUAAAAUAACAUUAAUUUUU
Molecule: long non-coding RNA, 724 nt
Organism: Austrofundulus limnaeus
Lineage: Eukaryota; Metazoa; Chordata; Actinopteri; Cyprinodontiformes; Rivulidae
Exons: 3
Source: RefSeq, a predicted model, not a curated record